GCUGGGCGGGGUGGUGCGCGCCUCUAGUCCUAGCUACUCAGGAGGCUGAGGCAGGAGAAUUGCUUGAACCUGGGAGGCAGAGGUUGCAGUGAGCCAAGAUUAACGCCACUGCACUCCAGCCUGGUGAGACUCUGUCUCAAAAAAAAAAAAAAAGGACUGGAUCCACAGUGGAUGCACUCUGUCACCCAGGCUGGAGUGUGCAGUGGCAUGGUCUUGGCUCACUGCAACCUCCACCUCCCGUGUUCAAGUGAUUCUUCUGCCUCA
RNAcentral lists this small RNA (264 nucleotides) under Pan paniscus (pygmy chimpanzee). Its description in RNAcentral is "Metazoan signal recognition particle RNA (ENSPPAG00000020696.1)". The record is from RNAcentral. Lineage: Eukaryota; Metazoa; Chordata; Mammalia; Primates; Hominidae.